Molecule: microRNA precursor, 195 nt
Filed under: Oryza brachyantha (malo sina)
Lineage: Eukaryota; Viridiplantae; Streptophyta; Magnoliopsida; Poales; Poaceae
Description: MIR812 microRNA precursor family
Rfam family: MIR812 microRNA precursor family
Source: Rfam by way of RNAcentral
AAUAAACAAAUUUCUGAGAUUUUGGAUGGAGUUUUUGACUCUUCGUCUUAUUUGAAAUUUUUUUAUGAUUAAUAUUUUUAUUGUUACUACAUGAUAAAACAUGAAUAGUACUUUACAUGCGACUAAUUUUUUUAUUUUUUAAUAAAUUUUUUAAAUAAGAAGGAUGGUCAAACACUCGAACUAGAAAAACCCAAA